Molecule: ribosomal RNA, 253 nt
Filed under: uncultured bacterium
Lineage: Bacteria
Description: partial 16S ribosomal RNA
Rfam family: Bacterial small subunit ribosomal RNA
Source: RNAcentral
UACGAAGGGGGCUAGCGUUGCUCGGAAUCACUGGGCGUAGAGGGUGCGUAGGCGGGUCUUUAAGUCAGGGGUGAAAUCCUGGAGCUCAACUCCAGAACUGCCUUUGAUACUGAGGAUCUUGAGUUCGGGAGAGGUGAGUGGAACUGCGAGUGUAGAGGUGAAAUUCGUAGAUAUUCGCAAGAACACCAGUGGCGAAGGCGGCUCACUGGCCCGGUACUGACGCUGAGGUGCGAAAGCGUGGGGAGCAAACAGG